RNAcentral lists this ribosomal RNA (612 nucleotides) under uncultured bacterium. RNAcentral's name for it is "bacterial SSU rRNA". It matches the Rfam family "Bacterial small subunit ribosomal RNA", at positions 338 to 945 of the family's 1533-position model. The record is from RNAcentral.
CCUACGGGAGGCAGCAGUAAGGAAUAUUGGUCAAUGGAGGCAACUCUGAACCAGCCAUGCCGCGUGCAGGAUGACGGCCCUAUGGGUUGUAAACUGCUUUUAUACAAGAGAAAACCCUGGUACGUGUACCAGGUUGAUAGUAUUGUAAGAAUAAGCAUCGGCUAACUUCGUGCCAGCAGCCGCGGUAAGACGAAGGAUGCAAGCGUUAUCCGGAUUCAUUGGGUUUAAAGGGUGCGUAGGCGGACUGAUAAGUCAGUGGUGAAAUCUCUUUGCUUAACAAAGAAACUGCCAUUGAUACUGUCGGUCUAGAGUAUAGAUGACGUUGGCGGAAUAUGACAUGUAGUGGUGAAAUACUUAGAUAUGUCAUAGAACACCGAUUGCGAAGGCAGCUAACGAAACUAUAACUGACGCUGAGGCACGAAAGUGCGGGGAUCAAACAGGAUUAGAUACCCUGGUAGUCCGCACCGUAAACGAUGAUUACUCGUUGUUGGCGAUAUGACAGUCAGCGACCAAGCGAAAGCGAUAAGUAAUCCACCUUGGGGAGUACGCCGGCAACGGUUGAAACUUCAAANAGAGUUGAGGNGNGAGAGNGCGAGGCGACGACGAGGAGAG